This 69-nucleotide transfer RNA is filed under the name Pseudorhaetus sinicus. RNAcentral's name for it is "tRNA-Gln". The record is from RNAcentral. Lineage: Eukaryota; Metazoa; Arthropoda; Insecta; Coleoptera; Lucanidae.
UACAUUUAAGUAUAAGAGGUACAGGAAUUUUUGAAAUUUCUAGGGAUAGUUUGAUUCUAUCAAAUGUAA